AUUCUGGUUGAUCCCGGCGGACCCGACUGCUAUUUGGGUGAGGAUAAGCCAUGCAAGUCGAAUGGGAUACCUAAAUUUCCCAUGGCGAACUGCUCAGUAACACAUGAUCAACUUGCCCUAUAGAGAGAAAUAACCUCGGGAAACUGAGGAUAAUUUUUCAUAAUUGAAUUGGCUUGGAAAAGUUUUUCAAUAAAAAGGAUAAAGAGAAUGGUCUUUAUUCGCUAUAGGAUAGGAUCGUGUUCGAUUAUGGUAGUUGGUGAGGUAAAGGCUCACCAAGCCGAUAAUCGAUAGGGGCCGUGAGAGCGGGAGCCCCGAGAUGGGUACUGAGACAACGACCCAGGCCUUACGAGGCGCANCAGGCGCGAAACCUCCACAAUACACGAAAGUGUGAUGGGGNUACCCANAGNGNUCAAUAUUGAACUG
Molecule: ribosomal RNA, 423 nt
Filed under: uncultured archaeon
Lineage: Archaea
Description: bacterial SSU rRNA
Rfam family: Archaeal small subunit ribosomal RNA
Source: RNAcentral